Molecule: ribosomal RNA, 1429 nt
Filed under: uncultured organism
Description: SSU rRNA
Rfam family: Bacterial small subunit ribosomal RNA
Source: RNAcentral
ACGGGCUUAACACAUGCAAGUCGAGGGGCAGCAUUUUUCUAUCAAUAGAAGAGAUGGCGACCGGCGCACGGGUGAGUAACACGUAUCCAACCUACCGAUAACUCUGGAAUAGCCUUUCGAAAGAAAGAUUAAUACCGGAUAGUAUACGAAUAUCGCAUGAUAUUUUUAUUAAAGAAUUUCGGUUAUCGAUGGGGAUGCGUUCCAUUAGUUUGUUGGCGGGGUAACGGCCCACCAAGACUACGAUGGAUAGGGGUUCUGAGAGGAAGGUCCCCCACAUUGGAACUGAGACACGGUCCAAACUCCUACGGGAGGCAGCAGUGAGGAAUAUUGGUCAAUGGGCGCAGGCCUGAACCAGCCAAGUAGCGUGAAGGAUGAAGGCUCUAUGGGUCGUAAACUUCUUUUAUAUGGGAAUAAAGUUUUCCACGUGUGGAAUUUUGUAUGUACCAUAUGAAUAAGGAUCGGCUAACUCCGUGCCAGCAGCCGCGGUAAUACGGAGGAUCCGAGCGUUAUCCGGAUUUAUUGGGUUUAAAGGGAGCGUAGGUGGAUUGUUAAGUCAGUUGUGAAAGUUUGCGGCUCAACCGUAAAAUUGCAGUUGAAACUGGUAGUCUUGAGUACAGUAGAGGUGGGCGGAAUUCGUGGUGUAGCGGUGAAAUGCUUAGAUAUCACGAAGAACUCCGAUUGCGAAGGCAGCUCACUAGACUGUAACUGACACUGAUGCUCGAAAGUGUGGGUAUCAAACAGGAUUAGAUACCCUGGUAGUCCACACAGUAAACGAUGAAUACUCGCUGUUUGCGAUAUACAGUAAGCGGCCAAGCGAAAGCAUUAAGUAUUCCACCUGGGGAGUACGCCGGCAACGGUGAAACUCAAAGGAAUUGACGGGGGCCCGCACAAGCGGAGGAACAUGUGGUUUAAUUCGAUGAUACGCGAGGAACCUUACCCGGGCUUAAAUUGCAACAGAAUAUAUUGGAAACAGUAUAGCCGUAAGGCUGUUGUGAAGGUGCUGCAUGGUUGUCGUCAGCUCGUGCCGUGAGGUGUCGGCUUAAGUGCCAUAACGAGCGCAACCCUUAUCUUUAGUUACUAACAGGUCAUGCUGAGGACUCUAGAGAGACUGCCGUCGUAAGAUGUGAGGAAGGUGGGGAUGACGUCAAAUCAGCACGGCCCUUACGUCCGGGGCUACACACGUGUUACAAUGGGGGGUACAGAAGGCAGCUACACGGCGACGUGAUGCUAAUCCCAAAAACCUCUCUCAGUUCGGAUCGAAGUCUGCAACCCGACUUCGUGAAGCUGGAUUCGCUAGUAAUCGCGCAUCAGCCAUGGCGCGGUGAAUACGUUCCCGGGCCUUGUACACACCGCCCGUCAAGCCAUGAAAGCCGGGGGUACCUGAAGUACGUAACCGCAAGGAGCGUCCUAGGGUAAAACUGGUAAUUGG